This 277-nucleotide long non-coding RNA is filed under the name Nicotiana benthamiana. RNAcentral's name for it is "long non-coding RNA (NBEN_LNC035899)". The record is from RNAcentral. Lineage: Eukaryota; Viridiplantae; Streptophyta; Magnoliopsida; Solanales; Solanaceae.
CUGAUUUAUGUACACAUUAUAUAUCCAAAUAAUUAUGGAAAAUCAAUACCAUAUUAAUUAUCUUCCCUUUCAUGAAUCAGUUCGAUAUUUGGCAUUAACAGACAAGAAUUAACUAUUUUAAAAUCAGUGAUCUCAAUUAUAUGUAACUGUAUUUAUAAAGUUUUUGCUGUUUGAACAAGUAUAAACAUUUCAAAUUUCCAAUACCAAACAUAGCUAAUAUUCAAAGAUUAACAUUCAUGUCUUCAUACUUCACAGUCAACUUGAACCAAAAUACGCU